UUUCAUUCAUAGGCAAGGUUGUAGCAACCUCAUGAUGGGUACAGAGAAAAAUCUGGCCACCAGCUGUCUCGUACUGCGGGUACCCUGAUAGGCGAAGACCUCCAGGAUGACCACAUGAAACAUGGGCAACAUCUGCCGAGACACUGGUCUCAGAACAGAGGACCUACCAGCUGUCAUGAACAACAGAGAGCUAUGGCAUGCCAUCGUCUGGCACAUUGCACCCCCAUAAGUAAAGAGCAAGAAUCAAGUUGGAUAAACCAAGGAGAGGUACCUUGAACAAAAAAGAAAAUAAUUUAAAAAGAAAAACAUAAUGUCUUAUUCAACAUUGAAUGUUUUGUCAAGAUAAUGAAAUUCAAGUCAUUAACAUGGGCAUCAUAUUUGUCUUUCAUUUCACUGUCAUACUUCAUCUAUAGAAUAAAAAGAUUGAUUGGUUGACUCUAGCAGUACUACUACUAGUUAUUAUUAUAAUGACAAAUUUGCUAGUUCCUAGAUUGAGGUCGUUCCAAGGUCAUCGUUCAAGACAAACAUUUACAGGAGCACCAAUCAAAAUCAGAAUGUUAUUCAUUAACUACGCAGCUAGCUACAGCCCCUAAUAGCCUAGCCUUCCAUCCCUCAGCCAUCUAAUGAAUAGGGCAAAGUAAAAUGCGCCCCAGUCAGGGAAAAUGGCCCUUCUCUCUAUUUCUUGCUGCUUUCCAAUCACAUAAAUGCUCUAUAAAUCCAGUACCAACAUAGCAAUGCAUAAUUAACCAGGGCUCAGUCUUCCAAGCGUGCUUCCUUCCACACAGCAGGGUAAAGCCAGGGGUGCUUAGUGCGAAGCGGAGGUUAGGUUAAGUUCGCUCCACUUGGGCCUUCGAGUUGGCAGGCAAUUCCCUGGAUUAUCUGGGCUUUCAGAAUCAGGCAUUAUGUUCUUAUUGACAACAUUGGAAAACUAGCAACACCCACAGCUUAAGCUAGACGCCCGCCGGUUGGAAAACAAUGCCACACAAUCAAGUUCUGUAAAUUGCUUGUUGCCAUUGGGGUCAUGCUCAACAGGAAGAUUAGACACUUGUACAGUGAGAUGGUAAUACCAUUAUUCCUGUGUAAUCUCUUCGACUGGGAUAGAAUGGAAUACCAUGGGAAAUCCAUACUUGGGAUACUGUUUCCAACACCAGUACCAUUCCUUUUCAAAUACUCUACCUACUAAAAUAAUGGGUCAAACUUACAGAAUUCUGUUGAUCUAUAUACUUUCAUGUCAUUGGGAUGGGAGCCCGACGAGAUGGCUGAGGCUUGGGUGCCCGACGAGGCGUGGCGUGGGAUGGGAGCCCGACGAGCCGGCUGAGGCGUGGGAGCCCGACGAGGUGUAAUGUGAGAUGGGAGCCCGACGAGACGGCUGAGGCGUGGGAGCCCGACGAUGUGGGAUGGGAGCCAGACGAGACGGCUGAGGUGUGGGAGCCCGACGAGGUGUAACGUGAGAUGGGAGCCCGACGAGACGGCUGAGGCGUGGGAGCCCGACGAGGUGUGAUGUGGGAUGGGAGCCCGAUGAGCCACCUGAGGCGUGGGAGCCCGACGAGGUGUGACGUGGGAUGGGAGUCAGACGAGACGACUGAGGCGUGGAAGCCCGACGAGGUGUGACGUGGGAUGGGAGCCUGACGAGCCGGCUGAGGCAUGAAGUGGGAUGGGAGCCCGACGAGACUGCUGAGGCGUGGGAGCCCGACAAGGUGUGACGUGGGAUGGGAGCCAGACGAGGUGUGACGUGGGAUGGGAGCCCGACGAGCCGGCUGAGGCAUGAUGUGGGAUGGGAGCCCGACGAGACUGCUGAGGCGUGGGUGCCCCAACGAGGCAUGAUGUGGGAUGGGAGCCUGCCAAGCCAGCUGAGACCCGACGUCACCUACAAAAACAAAAAACUCCCUGAUUCUUCAAAUUGUGGUGUCAGCAUUCUAUAAGGACCAACGCUAUGCGUUAAGAAGCAAGUACAGGGAGUGAACAUUUUUAAUGAAUAAACAAACAUGAAACAGGACAGCAUCUUGACAUGGAAAACAUAACAUUAGUGCUGACACCGGGAACAAACAGAGGAGCGGACCGAUAUAGAGGGGCAAUCAACAAAGUAAUGAGUCCAAUAUCCAGGUGAGUUCAUUAUUGCGCAGAUGCGUGUAAUGAUGGUGACUGGUGUGCGUAAUGAUGGGAGCGGGGCCCGGCGUGACACCAAAACUGUUCAGAGAAAAGGUACUGAAAUCAUGAGCG
This is a non-coding RNA of Oncorhynchus mykiss (rainbow trout), 2220 nucleotides long. The record is from RefSeq and is a predicted model, not a curated record. NCBI's taxonomy places the organism in Eukaryota, Metazoa, Chordata, Actinopteri, Salmoniformes, Salmonidae.